CCGCGUUCCACAGUCGAUGUUCCUGAGCAAAAGUUAACCUGUUUCUACGAUGAUUUACCUCGAACCUUGGAGCCUUGGCGGGCACAAAUGAACCCUAAACAGCUUCUUCGAACCUUCUUCGUACCGUACGCUCACUUACGGUUACACCCCGCACUGCUUCUAACUCAUGUCGGGCUUGGACGGCUGUCAAACGGGGGUUCCUACGUGCACGAAGCCGAAUGAAACGAUCAUCCCUACUCGAAGUCCAUGCCCGGGAUCGAGCUGCGACUGCCCAAAUAGGAAGCCACAGUCCAAACCACUGGGCUAUUAUGAAAGUAUUAAUAAGAGAAUAUUCGCUUUUUGAAGAAGUUUUA
Molecule: long non-coding RNA, 353 nt
Organism: Melitaea cinxia (Glanville fritillary)
Lineage: Eukaryota; Metazoa; Arthropoda; Insecta; Lepidoptera; Nymphalidae
Exons: 2
Source: RefSeq, a predicted model, not a curated record